AUGGGUCGUCUUGAUUCGGAGGCGCCGACGUCGAGCAUCAUCGCCGCGGGGCUGACUGCUCUCCACGACCACGCCCACGGACACGGGGGAGGCGCGGCGGCGCCGACGAGUGCAGGCUCGGCCUUCGACACCAACGUGGUGAUCAUCCUUGCCGCGCUCUUCUUCGCGCUGCUCUUCGCCAUCGGGCUCAACUCGCUGGCGCGGUGCGCGCUGCGGCACGUGGGCCGCGGAGCCGCGGUCGCCGCCGGCGAGGGCGGGGCGACGGCUCGGGCGGCCUUCAACGGCAGCGGCAUCAAGAGGCGCGUGCUGAGGAGCCUCCCCGUGGAAGUGUACGGAUCCGGGGAGGUCAUCGACGACGUGUGCGCCAUAUGCCUCGGCGAGUUCGUCGACGGCGAGAAGGUGCGCGUGCUGCCGGAGUGCUGCCACGGGUUCCACGUCCGGUGCGUCGACGCAUGGCUGGUGUCCCACAGCUCGUGUCCGACGUGCAGGCGGCCGGUGAUCGAGGACUCUCUCGCGAAGGGCGGCGAAGCCAAUGCCGCCGUAGAGAACAACACGAUCACAGUGGUCAUCGUUUGA
This 576-nucleotide ribosomal RNA is filed under the name Triticum aestivum (bread wheat). RNAcentral describes it as "partial small subunit ribosomal RNA". The record is from RNAcentral. Lineage: Eukaryota; Viridiplantae; Streptophyta; Magnoliopsida; Poales; Poaceae.